UACGAAGGGGGCUAGCGUUGCUCGGAAUCACUGGGCGUAAAGCGCACGUAGGCGGAUUUUUAAGUCAGGGGUGAGAUCCUGGAGCUCAACUCCAGAACUGCCUUUGAUACUGGGAAUCUCGAGUCCGGAAGAGGUGAGUGGAACUGCGAGUGUAGAGGUGAAAUUCGUAGAUAUUCGCAAGAACACCAGUGGCGAAGGCGGCUCACUGGUCCGGUACUGACGCUGAGGUGCGAAAGCGUGGGGAGCAAACAGG
RNAcentral lists this ribosomal RNA (253 nucleotides) under uncultured bacterium. RNAcentral describes it as "partial 16S ribosomal RNA". It matches the Rfam family "Bacterial small subunit ribosomal RNA", at positions 524 to 776 of the family's 1533-position model. The record is from RNAcentral.